CUACGGGCGGCACCAGUGGGGAAUAUUGGACAAUGGGGGAAACCCUGAUCCAGCAAUGCCGCGUGUGUGAAGAAGGCCUGCGGGUUGUAAAGCACUUUCGGUUGGGAGGACUGCUUCUAGCACUAAUAUUGUUGGAAGUUGACGUUACCUUCAGAAGAAGCACCGGCUAACUCCGUGCCAGCAGCCGCGGUAAUACGGAGGGUGCAAGCGUUAAUCGGAAUUACUGGGCGGAAAGCGCGCGUAGGCGGCUAGAUCAGUCGGGUGUGAAAGCCCCGGGCUUAACCUGGGAACUGCAUCCGAUACUGUCUAGCUCGAGUACAGGAGAGGAGAGUGGAAUUCCACAUGUAGCGGUGAAAUGCGUAGAUAUGUGGAGGAACACCAAUGGCGAAGGCAGCUCUCUGGCCUGAUACUGACGCUGAGGUGCGAAAGCGUGAGGAGCAAACAGGAUUAGAUACCCUAGUAGUC
Molecule: ribosomal RNA, 465 nt
Filed under: uncultured bacterium
Lineage: Bacteria
Description: partial 16S ribosomal RNA
Rfam family: Bacterial small subunit ribosomal RNA
Source: RNAcentral